AGCAGUUCCAUAUGUUGUUUUCUGUGUAAAUGUUAAGAGGUCAGUAACAUCCAAACACACCCUAAAUGUGCCGAUCCCAUUCAUUUGGUUCAAUUUUUUUCAACUGGGUAUGUUUUUAUUUCCUUAAAAUUUUCUUAUGAUUACUAAAAUAGAUUCAUUCAAAUCUAAUGAGCAAUCAAAAUAAAUGUUACUUCAACUGCUAAUGGUAUAAAUGUUUCUAAGCCCAUGUAUUGGAUUGAAGUGAAUGUAUGAAUGCAACCUAUAUUUUUAUGUGCAUUUGCAGAGUUUUUAAGAAUGGGUCCCAGACCAAACACUUUCAGUUACACAGAACUGAAGAACGCCACCGAAGACUUCAAUCCUGCAAAUAAGCUGGGUCAGGGUGGAUUUGGCACCAUUUUUAAGGAGAGUAAAUUGCAUCUAGAUUGGCAUACCCGCUUCGAGAUAUGCUUGGGGACAACAAGAGGUCUUGCUUACCUUCACGAGGAAUCCAGGCCUUGCAUUGUUCACAGGGAUGUUUAAUGGAAUGAAGCUGUACUCAGAGAGGCGUUAAUGAAAUGAUAUGGAAAUCAGAUGCAUUGGAGGAUGAUCAGAAAUGUGCAGUUUCACAUGCGGAAGAGGGUUUGAUGAGAAAAGAAUCAUCUGUGCUUGGAGAAUAUGUUGCAUCCCUAUCAGGAGAGACACCAAGACAUCCUCCAGCUCCCCUAGCUCCUGAGGGUAACCUUUUACAUGGCGGAAAUGUAUUGUCAAAAUCUGUUAUUUAAACUGCAGUAUUUGAUGGAUUUGGUCCGACAAGUUGUGAUGGACACGUUUCCAUAAAGAAUCUAGGUUCCUUGUAAGGCAUCACUUGUUAGAUUUGUCAAAACUCGAGUUUUCUUCUGAUGAUGGGGAUGAAGGCAAGACUUCUUUGGGAGUUUCAGAUGCCCUUCAUCUCCCUAGUAGCUUAGCCGACAUACAGGAAAGAUGUGAUAUCGGGAGUUCUAUGAAAGAAUUCAACAUUGACCCGUAUAACAGGUGCUUGAAGCUAGCUAAUAAGUCACCUAGGAAUUUGCAAUAACACUUCACCUUUAUGUUGUUUGGAUGGAAUAAUACCACGUUUGAAUGGGCCCUUUAAUUUUUUAUUUUUUCAGAUUUCUAUUCCAAAUAGAAACUAAAAUUUCAAUUUGAAAAGUGGGUGUGAUUCUCAUGUUUUUCUCCACCCACAUAAUUGACAACAUAA
Molecule: RNA transcript, 1216 nt
Organism: Magnolia sinica
Lineage: Eukaryota; Viridiplantae; Streptophyta; Magnoliopsida; Magnoliales; Magnoliaceae
Gene name: probable LRR receptor-like serine/threonine-protein kinase At1g56140
Exons: 4
Source: RefSeq, a predicted model, not a curated record